Molecule: long non-coding RNA, 205 nt
Filed under: Elaeis guineensis (African oil palm)
Lineage: Eukaryota; Viridiplantae; Streptophyta; Magnoliopsida; Arecales; Arecaceae
Description: long non-coding RNA (EGUI_LNC018361)
Source: RNAcentral
UUCGUAAAUAAAUAUUUGAGUAUAAAAAUUUAGGAUCAAAAUUAAAGUUCAAUAAACAAUUUCAAAUUCUUUCUAUUAGAUAGAGAAGUAUAAGAUUCAAUUUUAGGAUAAAAAAAAUCUAUCUCUAAAUAUUUUGAAUCUAAAAUUGAAAAUCAAGGGUCCACUCAUUCUAGAAUUUGGAUGCUAAAUAUUUUCUUAGCAUAGU